AGCGGCGAACGGGUGAGUAACGCGUGAGCAACCUACCUUAGUUACUGGGAUAGCCCGAGGAAACUCGGAUUAAUACCGGAUAUUCUUAUUUAAUCACAUGAUUUUCUAAGGAAAGGUCAGCCGAACUAAGAUGGGCUCGCGUUCUAUCAGCUAGUUGGUAGGGUAACGGCCUACCAAGGCUACGACGGAUAGCUGGUCUGAGAGGACGAUCAGCCACACUGGGACUGAGACACGGCCCAGACUCCUACGGGAGGCUGCAGCAGGGAAUAUUGUGCAAUGAACGAAAGUUUGACACAGCGACACCGCGUGUGGGAUGACGGAUCUAGGUUUGUAAACCACUUUCAGGAGGGAAGAAAACGACGGUACCUCCACAAGAAGCCCCGGCCAACUACGUGCCAGCAGCCGCGGUAAUACGUAGGGGGCGAGCGUUGUCCGGAUUUAUUGGGCGUAAAGAGCUCGUAGGCGGUUCAACAAGUCGGUCGUGAAAGUUCAGGGCUCAACCCUGAAAUGUCGAUCGAUACUGUUGUGACUAGGAUACGGCAGAGGUGAGUGGAAUUCCGAGUGUAGCGGUGAAAUGCGUAGGUAUUCGGAGGAACACCAAUUGCGAAGGCAGCUCACUGGGCCGCUAUCGACGCUGAGGAGCGAAAGCUAGGGGAGCAAACAGGAUUAGAUACCCUGGUAGUCCUAGCUGUAAACGAUGGAUACUAGAUGUAGGAAUUGGUUUAACGAUUUCUGUAUCGUAGCUAACGCGUUAAGUAUCCCGCCUGGGGAGUAC
This 775-nucleotide ribosomal RNA is filed under the name uncultured marine bacterium. RNAcentral's name for it is "bacterial SSU rRNA". It matches the Rfam family "Bacterial small subunit ribosomal RNA", at positions 94 to 883 of the family's 1533-position model. The record is from RNAcentral.